This is a long non-coding RNA of Melitaea cinxia (Glanville fritillary), 370 nucleotides long. RefSeq lists it as uncharacterized. NCBI's taxonomy places the organism in Eukaryota, Metazoa, Arthropoda, Insecta, Lepidoptera, Nymphalidae. The transcript is spliced from 2 exons. The record is from RefSeq and is a predicted model, not a curated record.
AAAAGUUUGAUGAAGAACGGUAAGGUGCGUCGUUUCAGCUGUAAUAAAGCGAGUUGUAAUGUAUGACUAGUCCGUUGGCGCAGUUUGUAGUGACCCUGCUUUCUGCUCCGAGGAAUUAUAGAAUUUGGCAAUGGCAAGAAGCGAUACUUUCUUCAAGGGAACACGUUUUAUAGGCAGUGUGCUAUACGCAAAGGUACAGCUUCAAGAUGGAAGUGCACAAUCCCAGGUUGCCAGGUUUACAUACAUUUAGAUGAGAGACUCAACAUUAUACGUCCGCCAACACAUGAACAUUCUCAUUUACCAGCAAAACUUAACAAGAAUAGAGAUGGCGUUAUAUAUUAGAAUUUAAAUAAAUUUAUGUUUGAUGAUA